Molecule: ribosomal RNA, 506 nt
Filed under: uncultured bacterium
Lineage: Bacteria
Description: partial 16S ribosomal RNA
Rfam family: Bacterial small subunit ribosomal RNA
Source: RNAcentral
AUUGAACGCUGGCGGCAGGCCUAACACAUGCAAGUCGAACGGUAACAGGAAACAGCUAGCUGUUUCGCUGACGAGUGGCGGACGGGUGAGUAAUGUCUGGGAAACUGCCCGAUGGAGGGGGAUAACUACUGGAAACGGUAGCUAAUACCGCAUAACGUCGCAAGACCAAAGAGGGGGACCUUCGGGCCUCUUGCCAUCGGAUGUGCCCAGAUGGGAUUAGCUUGUUGGUGGGGUAACGGCUCACCAAGGCGACGAUCCCUAGCUGGUCUGAGAGGAUGACCAGCCACACUGGAACUGAGACACGGUCCAGACUCCUACGGGAGGCAGCAGUGGGGAAUAUUGCACAAUGGGCGCAAGCCUGAUGCAGCCAUGCCGCGUGUAUGAAGAAGGCCUUCGGGUUGUAAAGUACUUUCAGCGGGGAGGAAGGGAGUAAAGUUAAUACCUUUACUCAUUGACGUUACCCGCAGAAGAAGCACCGGCUAACUCCGUGCCAGCCGCCGCAGAAA